AACGAACGCUGGCGGCAUGCCUAACACAUGCAAGUCGAACGAGACCUUCGGGUCUAGUGGCGCACGGGUGCGUAACGCGUGGGAACCUGCCCUUAGGUUCGGAAUAACUCCCCGAAAGGGGUGCUAAUACCGGAUAAUGUCUUCGGACCAAAGAUUUAUCGCCUUUGGAUGGGCCCGCGUUGGAUUAGCUAGUUGGUAGGGUAAAAGCCUACCAAGGCGACGAUCCAUAGCUGGUCUGGGAGGAUGAUCAGCCACACUGGGGCUGAGACACGGCCCAGACUCCUACGGGAGGCAGCAGUGGGGAAUAUUGGACAAUGGGCGAAAGCCUGAUCCAGCAAUGCCGGGUGAGUGAUGAAGGCCUUAGGGUUGUAAAGCUCUUUUACCCGGGAUGAUAAUCACAGUACCGGGAGAAUAAGCUCCGGCUAACUCCGUG
This 433-nucleotide ribosomal RNA is filed under the name uncultured bacterium. RNAcentral describes it as "partial 16S ribosomal RNA". It matches the Rfam family "Bacterial small subunit ribosomal RNA", at positions 29 to 507 of the family's 1533-position model. The record is from RNAcentral.